AUUGAACGCUGGCGGCAUGCCUUACACAUGCAAGUCGAACGGCAGCGGACCUUCGGGUGCCGGCGAGUGGCGGACGGGUGCGUAACGCGUAUGCAACAUGCCUUCCAGCGGGGGAUAUACCAGGGAAACUUGGCGCAAUACCCCAUAGAAUUACGGGACCGCAUGGUCUUGUGAUUAAAACUCCGGUGCUGGGAGAUUGGCAUGCGUGACAUUAGCUAGUUGGCGGGUAACGGCCCACCAAGGCGACGAUGUCUAGCUGGUCUGAGAGGAUGAUCAGCCACACUGGGACUGAGACACGGCCCAGACUCCUACGGGAGGCAGCAGUAGGGAAUAUUGGACAAUGGGGGGAACCCUGAUCCAGCCAUGCCGCGUGAGGGAAGAAGGUCCUCUGGAUUGUAAACCUCUUUUGGCAGGAAACAAACCUGCGCUAUACGCGCAGCUGAGGGUACCUGCAGAAUAAGCACCGGCUAACUCCGUGCCAG
RNAcentral lists this ribosomal RNA (482 nucleotides) under uncultured bacterium. Its description in RNAcentral is "bacterial SSU rRNA". It matches the Rfam family "Bacterial small subunit ribosomal RNA", at positions 30 to 511 of the family's 1533-position model. The record is from RNAcentral.